This 440-nucleotide ribosomal RNA is filed under the name Clostridioides sp. ZZV15-6388. RNAcentral describes it as "bacterial SSU rRNA". It matches the Rfam family "Bacterial small subunit ribosomal RNA", at positions 338 to 795 of the family's 1533-position model. The record is from RNAcentral. Lineage: Bacteria; Bacillati; Bacillota; Clostridia; Peptostreptococcales; Peptostreptococcaceae.
CCUACGGGAGGCAGCAGUGGGGAAUAUUGCACAAUGGGGGAAACCCUGAUGCAGCGACGCCGCGUGAGCGAAGAAGUAUUUCGGUAUGUAAAGCUCUAUCAGCAGGGAAGAUAAUGACGGUACCUGACUAAGAAGCCCCGGCUAACUACGUGCCAGCAGCCGCGGUAAUACGUAGGGGGCAAGCGUUAUCCGGAUUUACUGGGUGUAAAGGGAGCGUAGACGGCAAGGCAAGUCUGAUGUGAAAACCCAGGGCUUAACCCUGGGACUGCAUUGGAAACUGUCUGGCUCGAGUGCCGGAGAGGUAAGCGGAAUUCCUAGUGUAGCGGUGAAAUGCGUAGAUAUUAGGAAGAACACCAGUGGCGAAGGCGGCUUACUGGACGGUAACUGACGUUGAGGCUCGAAAGCGUGGGGAGCAAACAGGAUUAGAUACCCCUGUAGUC